RNAcentral lists this ribosomal RNA (856 nucleotides) under human gut metagenome. Its description in RNAcentral is "bacterial SSU rRNA". It matches the Rfam family "Bacterial small subunit ribosomal RNA", at positions 8 to 900 of the family's 1533-position model. The record is from RNAcentral.
AGAGUUUGAUCCUGGCUCAGAACGAACGCUGGCGGCAGGCUUAACACAUGCAAGUUGAACGGGAUUUGUGUGGUGCUUGCACCAUAUAAUGAGAGUAGCGCACUGGUGAGUAACACGUGGGAACGUGCCUUUUAGUGGGGGAUAACAUCUGGAAACGGAUGCUAAUACCGCAUACGCCCUGAGGGGGAAAGAUUUAUUGCUAAGAGGUCGGCCCGCGGUAGAUUAGGCAGUUGGUGGGGUAAAGGCCUACCAAACCUACGAUCUAUAGCUGGUCUGAGAGGACGAUCAGCCACAUUGGAACUGAGACACGGUCCAGACUCCUACGGGAGGCAGCAGUGAGGAAUAUUGGGCAAUGGAGGCAACUCUGACCCAGCCAUGCCGCGUGAGUGAGAAGGUUUUCGAAUUGUAAAGCUCUUUCGGGUGUGAAGAUGAUGACGGUAACACCAGAAGAAGCCCCGGCAAACUUCGUGCCAGCAGCCGCGGUAAUACGAAGGGGGCGAGCGUUGUUCGGAAUUACUGGGCGUAAAGGGUGUGUAGGCGGUUAAGUAAGAUAGUGGUGAAAUGCCGGGGCUCAACCUCGGAAUUGCCAUUAUGACUAUUUAGCUAGAAUGAUGCAGAGGAUAGCGGAAUACCCAGUGUAGAGGUGAAAUUCGUAGAUAUUGGGUAGAACACCAGAGGCGAAGGCGGCUAUCUGGGCAUUGAUUGACGCUGAGGCACGAAAGCAUGGGGAUCAAACAGGAUUAGAUACCCUGGUAGUCCAUGCUGUAAACGAUGAAUGCUAGUUGUUGGAGGAAUUCAGUGACGCAGUUAACACAAUAAGCAUUCCGCCUGGGGAGUACGGUCGCAAGAUUAAAAC